UAGGGGUUCUGAGAGGAAGGUCCCCCACAUUGGAACUGAGACACGGUCCAAACUCCUACGGGAGGCAGCAGUGAGGAAUAUUGGUCAAUGGACGUAAGUCUGAACCAGCCAAGUCGCGUGAGGGAAGACUGCCCUAUGGGUUGUAAACCUCUUUUAUAAGGGAAGAAUAAGUUCUACGUGUAGAAUGAUGCCUGUACCUUAUGAAUAAGCAUCGGCUAACUCCGUGCCAGCAGCCGCGGUAAUACGGAGGAUGCGAGCGUUAUCCGGAUUUAUUGGGUUUAAAGGGUGCGUAGGCGGUUUAUUAAGUUAGUGGUUAAAUAUUUGAGCUAAACUCAAUUGUGCCAUUAAUACUGGUAAACUGGAGUACAGACGAGGUAGGCGGAAUAAGUUAAGUAGCGGUGAAAUGCAUAGAUAUAACUUAGAACUCCGAUAGCGAAGGCAGCUUACCAGACUGUAACUGACGCUGAUGCACGAGAGCGUGGGUAGCGAACAGGAUUAGAUACCCUGGUAGUCCACGCCGUA
RNAcentral lists this ribosomal RNA (522 nucleotides) under uncultured bacterium. RNAcentral describes it as "bacterial SSU rRNA". It matches the Rfam family "Bacterial small subunit ribosomal RNA", at positions 284 to 804 of the family's 1533-position model. The record is from RNAcentral.